CUCAACCACUAAGUAAAAUAAAAAUAACAACUGUUUCUUUUUCAAAACAGGUUCAGCUGCUAGAAAACCAACCAAUCAAUCCUUGGGGCAGGGCAUGAAAGGAACAAUGUACCCUCAUGGUUGGAAGAAACUAGAGUCAGGUGCAAUCACUAAUUCCCUACAUGGAGGAGAAGGACUUCUGCAGCCCAUUGCUGCAGUAAGAGCUGGCUGCUGUCAAGAUCAGUGUAAGCCCUGCAUCUUAUGUUCUUGUUUUCAAGCUCAGGUCUUCAACCAUGUGGUUUUGGUGUGUUUUUUUUUUGUUUUUGUUUUUUUUGUUUUUUUUGUUUUUGUUUUUUUUUUUCAAUGAAAAUAGAGAUUCCAUGUUCAAAAAGCUGGGAACAAGUGAAAAGCAAGAAAGUGCAGCAGCUGGAAGGU
RNAcentral lists this long non-coding RNA (414 nucleotides) under Zonotrichia albicollis (white-throated sparrow). Its description in RNAcentral is "lncRNA (ENSZALG00000014845.1)". Lineage: Eukaryota; Metazoa; Chordata; Aves; Passeriformes; Passerellidae. The record is from RNAcentral.